AACGAACGCUGGCGGCAGGCCUAACACAUGCAAGUCGAGCGGACCCUCCGGGGUUAGCGGCGGACGGGUGAGUAACCCGUGGGAAUAUGCCCUUCUCUACGGCAUAGCCCUGGGAAACUGGGGGUAAUACCGUAUACGCCCUUUGGGGGGAAGAUUUAUCGGGGCAGGAGUAGCCCGCGUUGGAUUAGGUAGUUAGUAGGGUAAUGGCCUACCAAGCCGUGAAUCCGAAGAUGGUUUGAGAGGCUGGUCAGCCACACUGGGACUGAGAAACGGCCCAGACUCCUACGGGAGGCAGGAGUGGGGGAUCUUGGACAAUGGGGGGAAUCCUGAUGGUGCCAUGCCGGGUGAGUGAUGAAGGCCUUAAGGUUGUAAAGCUCUUUCAGCUAGGAAGAUAAUGACGGUACCAGAAGAAGAAGCCCCGGCUAACUCCGUG
RNAcentral lists this ribosomal RNA (433 nucleotides) under uncultured bacterium. Its description in RNAcentral is "partial 16S ribosomal RNA". It matches the Rfam family "Bacterial small subunit ribosomal RNA", at positions 29 to 507 of the family's 1533-position model. The record is from RNAcentral.